AUGCAUUAUACCAACGCUGAAAUAGUAGGCAUGUGCAUAUAUAACAACAAUAUGUAAUAAUAAUAAUAAAUUAUAUUUUAAGUGUAUAAAUAGUAUAUGAUACAAGUAGUAAUAUAUUAUCACGCAGAUAAACACAUGUACACAUAUCUUUAUGUCUCUACCGAGUCAGGUAGGACAUUCCGGCCGGUAUCAGCCGCAUCCCCCUGCCUACUAUAAACGUUAAAAAAUGUCAGUCAAAUUAUUACACCAAAUAACUCUUUAUUGCCAAUUGAAAAAACAAUGCGUAAAAGCAGUAAAUAAUGAACUAUCGCAGCUGGCUCAAUUUGUCCCUUGCGACGCGCUUGGUCCGUCGUCCUCCCAAUCUUGCGCAGAGAUGUGGAAGGAUCUUGUGCCCAAUUGUUGUUCCUACAGCGGAAACCGAACAUUAGAUGAGAGAAACUUACUGUGCACACAUGCCCAGUAUUUGGGAAAACUUAGCUGAACGAUACAUACCUCGGUGCUUUGAUGCGGAGCGAUGUGGGAACUCGUGAUGGGGAGAGCGAUGUGGAAAUUUGUGAUGAUGUGAGUGAUCGUGACUCUGUUCGGCACCGGAUGUCUCGAUACCAAAGGGUCAAGCCUUUACGGCCGGGGCCGGGAUAGGCUGCCCUGAUAUCUGCGAGGAG
RNAcentral lists this long non-coding RNA (662 nucleotides) under Androctonus crassicauda. The record is from RNAcentral. Lineage: Eukaryota; Metazoa; Arthropoda; Arachnida; Scorpiones; Buthidae.